Molecule: ribosomal RNA, 774 nt
Filed under: uncultured Neocallimastigales
Lineage: Eukaryota; Fungi; Neocallimastigomycota; Neocallimastigomycetes; Neocallimastigales
Description: partial large subunit ribosomal RNA
Rfam family: Eukaryotic large subunit ribosomal RNA
Source: RNAcentral
AGAGAGAGACAUGCGCGCAUAUCAAUAAGCGGAGGAAAAGAAACUAACAAGGAUUCCCUUAGUAACGGCGAGUGAAGCGGGAAGAGCUCAAAUCUGAAAUCUUCAAGGUUCUACCUUGACGAAUUGUAGUUUAAAGAAGUGUUUUCUGCUAGUGGAGUGGCAAAAGUUCUCUGGAAUAGGACAUCAUAGAGGGUGAGAAUCCCGUAUUUGGUCAUUCCUCCUAGCGUUGUGAUACACUUUCAACGAGUCGGAUUGUUUGGGAAUGCAGUCCAAAAUGGGUGGUAAAUUUCAUCUAAAGCUAAAUAUUGGCGAGAGACCGAUAGCGAACAAGUACCGUGAGGGAAAGAUGAAAAGAACUUUGAAAAGAGAGUUAAACAGUACGUGAAAUUGUCAAAAGGGAAGCGUUUGACACCAGUGUUGUUUUUCCGAAAAUCAAUUACGAAUGUUUUGUUUUUGAGGAGUUAUGACUUCAUCGGCUUGCUCCUUUCUUUACGAAACUUUCUUAAUGCACUUUUCGGUUAACAAGUCAACAUCAAUUUCUUUUGUUGUAAAAGGGUAUGAGGAAGGUGGCUUUCUUUUCGGAGAAAGUGUUUAUAGCCUUGUGCCUCUGCAAUCGGAGAGAUUGAGGUCUGCAGCGUAGAUCCUCCGGGGUUAGAUACGUUUGUGCUAAGUUAUAGCUUUUCAUAGACAACUUGUUGACUAUGUUUAGUCUUGUAGCUUACUCGCUGACGCUAUUUUACCUACGCUUAGGAUGUUGAUAGUCACAGCGUGUAC